UCCUCCAUCAAGAAUGCGUAUGAGGUGAUGC
This 31-nucleotide non-coding RNA is filed under the name Rattus norvegicus (Norway rat). Lineage: Eukaryota; Metazoa; Chordata; Mammalia; Rodentia; Muridae. The record is from RNAcentral.